Molecule: long non-coding RNA, 3901 nt
Filed under: Sus scrofa (pig)
Lineage: Eukaryota; Metazoa; Chordata; Mammalia; Artiodactyla; Suidae
Description: lncRNA (ENSSSCG00005011078.1)
Source: RNAcentral
UUUAGAUGGUUUCUCAUGGCCAUUAUUUGGAUUAUCCAACUUAUUGGAUAUACUUUGCUUAUUUUGCCUAAGUAGAAUGUUUGACGGGGAAAAAAUCACUGAAAUGUUACAAUUUUUAAAGUCAUAUUUUCAAUUCAUUUACUUAUGCUUUUUAUUAGAAUAAGGACAAGUGUCAAUUUCUUUAAAUUCAUCCUCAGGCAUACCUCAGAUAAUUGUGGGUUUGGUUCUAGACUACUGCAAUAAAGCAAAUAUCACAAAGCAAGUUACAUGAAUUUUUUGUUUUUCCAGUGCAUAUAAAAUUGUGCAAUAGCAUUAAGUCUAAAAAAACAAUGUACUUACCUUACUUUAAAAAUACUUUAGGAGUUCCUGUUGUGGCUCAGCAGUAAUAAACCCGACUAGUAUCCAUGAGGACGUGGGUUCAUCCCCUUGCCCUGCUCGGUGGGUUAAGGAUCCGGCAUUGACGUGGCUCAGAUCUGGCAUUGCUGUGGUUGUUGCUUGGCUGUGGUGGCAGCUGCAGCUCUGAUUCGACCCCUAGUCUGAGAACUUCCAUAUCCCGAGGGUGUGCCCCCACCCCCCCCAAAAAAAAGACCAAAAAAAAAAAAAAACUAUUGAUAAAAAAAUACUAACCAUCAUCUGAGCCUCUCAAGAGUUGGUGUCUUUUUGCAAUAGUGACAUCAAAGAUCACAGAGCAUUGUAAAAAGUAAAAUAAUGAAAAAUUUUGAGCUAUUGCGAGAAUUACCAAAAUGUUCACACAGACAGGAAAUGAGCAAAAGCUACUGGAAAAAUGGUGCUGAUAGACUUGAUUAACACAGGCUUGCCAUAAACCUUCAAUAUAUAAAACAUGCAACAUCUGUGAAGCACAGUAAGAGAAGCUCUGCAUAUAUUCAUUUUCUGCCUAAUAAUCUGCAGAAUAUUGAACCCAAGGACACAACCAAAACCAGUUACUUAGGUGGGCUUUUUCUAUAGCUGUUAUAGGCAAAUGUAAGCAAAUGCAGAUUAUCAAUUAUUAGACACUUUUUAACAAGGAAAUUUUGAGCCUCAUGCAAUUCAACAUAGUACCACAGCUCUAUCUAAUUCUAAGUAUUGUGCUGUUUGAAGUUUUUACUUCACAUCAAUUCAGUAUGAUUGGGUGAGAACUUAUACUUCUUUGGAAGAGAUGAAAGAAGACAAGAUGCUUAUUAACUAAUGAUAGAAAUUGGGAAAUGGUUAGCUCUUCUUUUUUUCAUAUUAUCAUCUUUAGUCUCAUAAACACUAUCUUGUGGAGAUUGUUCACCCAUUGCCAUUUAACUCAUUUGGAAGAAUUUUUUUUUUUUUUUUUUGUCUUUUUUGUCCCUUUGGGGCCAUACCCGCAGCAUAUGGAGGUUCCCAGGCUAGGGGUCUAAUCAGAGCUGUAGCCACUAGCCCAUGCCGGAGCCACAACAACGCCAGAUCUGAGCAGAGUCUGCUACCUACACCACAGCUCAGGGCAACACUGGAUCCUUGGAAGAAAAAUUCUUUAGGUGUCAAUAUUGUUAUGAGGAGAAUGUAGGAAGAUUAAAAGAUUUUUCUUGUGAAGGAUAUUUUUAUUGGAAGAGAUGCUAGUGAUGAUGAUAGCAAUAAGAAUAGAAAGAAUGAAUUAUUAAAAUGAGUGUUUUAGAAAGUAUGAGAAGAACUGAGAUUAAAUUGGAAAUACUGAAGUUAGGAGAUUGGGAACUGUUUAUGUUAACGGACCAUCGCUAAGAAUGCUUGUAUAAACAUUUAUUAAGUGGAUUUCUUAUUCUUUUUUAGGUGCCUCUUUUUCUUUUGAUUCUUCACUAGGCCUUCCCAGCUUUUAUUUAGUGCCUAUUCACUGUGCUUACAUCAUGAGCAGAUUUGUGUGGUGAUUAAGAGUCUUACCUCUUAUCAUAUGCUUUUUAGCUCAUAUGGCACAGUGACCUUGAAUGAACUGGACACCUGACGGGUGUAUCCCAGCCUUGGUUUUCUCUUUCGUAAAAGGAAGAUAGUAUUAACUAUAUGAUAAGUGAAAAUUAAUGUAUCUAAAACAGUGCUCUUCAAAAUAUUUUGCUUGCAUACUCAAAAGAAUUUUGGAAAAAAUUUUUAAGUUGACAUCUGUUAUUUAUCACUGGGUUUAUUAGUUUAAAAAUAGGAGUUCCCGUCGAGGCGCAGCGGAAAUGAAUCUGACUAGGAGCCGCCAGGGUUCGAACCCAAAACAUGGUUCCUAGUUGGAUUCGUUUCCUCUGCGCCAUGACAGGAAAUCUGGUUUGCUUGUUUUUUAAUCUGUUCAGAAGACAGGCUACUUCAAAGCCCUUGGUUGUUUUUUUCCUGAGUAAAGUUGGAUUCUUAGUAUUAUUUUUGAGGUAUAAUCUUAAAUAUUGUUAGAUAAAAGCAAAAUAAAAACAUUGUGUUUAUUUCCUUUAAAUAUCUUAGUUUACUUCAACCUUUAUGAUAGAAAGGGUAAAGCUUUACUGAGUGCAAGUCAUCCUGAGGGAUAAAUUGUUUUUAAUGCAAGUUACUUUCUCCUGUUUUGUAGGAGAGGAAUCAGGUCUGAGUUGGCAAUAAAACAGAAAGGUCAUUUCAGCUAUUCUGUCUCAUUUUCAAGGGGUUGAUAAAAGAGAUCAUCAGUCAUUUGAAUUAGAGCCCCAUGAGAUUUUAUUCAUUUCUAUUUUCAUAUGAUUGAUAAGGUGAGAAGAAGCCUUUCCGCACAGAGAAAGAAGGGAACUGUUUUCAGUAAGCGCAUAGUAGUAAUAGUAGUAGGUCUUACAUAGUACUUGCCUUAUGCCAGGUACUGUAUGUGUAUGAAUUCACUUAGUUUUUUUACAGUUCUGUGCAGGAGGUUAUUGUUAGCCCUGUUUUUAAAGAUGGAUUAAACUGAGGCACUGACAGAUGAAGUAGACUUGUCCAAGGUGACAAAGCUAGGAAGUGGCAGAGCUAGGAUUCAGACCUGGAAUCUGGCUCUAUAGUGGUUAUCCUCCUAACUAUUGGAUUAAAAUCCCUUUCAUCCUGUGAACAUCAGUCGUCUCUUGGACCUAGCUGGAGAUGGAGUUGGUGGAAAUGUGGAGCCCAGUUCAAGGUUGGGAAAGAACCUUGUCAAAUGCCUCAUUAGGCGUUCCAUUAGCCCCCACACUUGGAUGCCAGUUUCUGUCAGAAGAUAGGGCCCUUAAUUACAGUGCUGGGAGUUUGGGGGAGAAACUUGACUGUUAUUCUUCCUGGAAAAGAAUACAAAAAAUAGUUUAUAUCUGUUCAAGAAGAGACGUUUAAUGAAAAUAUUUUAAUUGAGACUUUCUGUAAUACAAGAAUCGGAUGCAAGGAAAUAUGUUUAAAUAUUAAGCAUGAUGUGCUCUUAAGACUUGAAACUUAAUGGAAACCUUUCUUUGCUGCCUUCCAUGUUCUGUUAGGUAGGAUUUAAAUUAUUGUCACGAUCUGUUGUAAAAAAGAAUCAGUCCCAUGUUAAAGGGUUGAUGUUUAGGAUACCCACUAGAAAUAGCAGUAGAUUAUAUUAAUCAAAUAAAGGCUUCUGACAAACUUAGAUAGGAUGUCUGUCUUAUUUCCUCUAAGCGCUUCAGCUGUUUUGCUCUUGUGUUUUAUUUUCUGUGGUUAAAAAUUAAAUAUAUACCUUAAUAUUGAAGUUUUAAAAGACAAAUUUUAUUUUCAUUGAAUAUACAUUUUAGAUAAUAUACUUCUAACUUGCAUUUUCAUAAAUUCCCAGCUCCUGUUUUUAUCCUCUCUUAUUGAAGAUAUUUAUGGCAAAAUGCAAUAGGUUUUGGAGCUCCUGCUGUGGUGCAAUGGGAAUGGCAGUCUCUUGGCAACGCUGGGACAUGGGUUCGAUCCCCGGCCAGGCACAGUGGAUUAAGGAUCCAGCUUAGUUCGCUGCUGCAGCUCAGAUCUGAUCCCUGGCCCGGGAGCUCUAUGUGCCACAGGACAG